UACGGAGGAUGCAAGCGUUAUCCGGAUUUAUUGGGUUUGAAGGGUGCGUAGGCGGGAUAAUAAGUCAGAGGUGAAAUCUCCCGGCUUAACCGGGAAACUGUCUUUGAUACUGUUAUUCUUGAGUAUAGUUGAGGUGGGCGGAAUGUGUAAUGUAGCGGUGAAAUGCAUAGAUAUUACACAGAACACCGAUUGCGAAGGCAGCUCACUAAACUAAAACUGACGCUGAUGCACGAAAGCGUAGGUAGCGAACAGG
RNAcentral lists this ribosomal RNA (253 nucleotides) under uncultured bacterium. RNAcentral's name for it is "partial 16S ribosomal RNA". It matches the Rfam family "Bacterial small subunit ribosomal RNA", at positions 524 to 776 of the family's 1533-position model. The record is from RNAcentral.